Molecule: ribosomal RNA, 253 nt
Filed under: uncultured bacterium
Lineage: Bacteria
Description: partial 16S ribosomal RNA
Rfam family: Bacterial small subunit ribosomal RNA
Source: RNAcentral
GACGAACCGUGCAAACGUUAUUCGGAAUCACUGGGCUUAAAGCGUGCGUAGGCGGCUGAGAAAGUUGGGUGUGAAAUCCCUCGGCUCAACCGAGGAAUUGCGCUCAAAACUACUUGGCUUGAGGGAGUUAGAGGUGAGCGGAACUAAUGGUGGAGCGGUGAAAUGCGUUGAUAUCGAUAGGAACUCCGGUGGCGAAGGCGGCAUACUGGACCACCACUGACGCUGAUGCGCGAAAGCCAGGGGAGCAAACGGG